Molecule: non-coding RNA, 429 nt
Organism: Misgurnus anguillicaudatus (oriental weatherfish)
Lineage: Eukaryota; Metazoa; Chordata; Actinopteri; Cypriniformes; Cobitidae
Source: RefSeq, a predicted model, not a curated record
AAAGAACUGCAUGAACUUUAAAUUAACAAGUCUUUGGUAGGUCACAUCAGUCUAAUGAUCAUUUAUUAAAUGUGUUUAGAAAUAUUGCCAUGAAAGUGUACUUUCUUUAUGUAGCGGGUAUUAACUCACUUACUUAUGGACCAGGAAUAAUAAUAAGAUCAGAAGGGUGCACGGUACGAAGGAGGAGGUAGCAGUGAUAGUGAGCAACAAGCAGAGACAGAAGAUUCGUGAUCCAAUCAGGUCGAAAUGGGAGGCUCGCCAUCAAUUAGGAAAAUCCAGCUCAAGGAAUGUUCAUAGCACGUGCAACCAAAAUGGCGUCAGCGAACAGCAGUGAACACAACGCACCAUGUGGUUUUACAUAAUCACACUGCAAUGAACAAUCCAACCCAUAUAACAUCACAAUAUAACACCAUUUUGUGUCGUAUGAAU